This 262-nucleotide ribosomal RNA is filed under the name uncultured bacterium. RNAcentral's name for it is "partial 16S ribosomal RNA". It matches the Rfam family "Bacterial small subunit ribosomal RNA", at positions 515 to 776 of the family's 1533-position model. The record is from RNAcentral.
CCGCGGUAAUACGGAGGGUGCAAGCGUUAAUCGGAAUUACUGGGCGUAAAGCGCACGUAGGCGGUUAGUUAAGCUAGCUGUGAAAUCCCCGGGCUUAACCUGGGAAUUGCAGUUAGAACUGGCUGGCUAGAGUAUGGUAGAAGGGUGUGGAAUUUCAGGUGUAGCGGUGAAAUGCGUAGAUAUCUGAAGGAACACCAGUGGCGAAGGCGACACCCUGGACCAAUACUGACGCUGAGGUGCGAAAGCGUGGGGAGCAAACAGG